Molecule: microRNA, 22 nt
Filed under: Homo sapiens (human)
Lineage: Eukaryota; Metazoa; Chordata; Mammalia; Primates; Hominidae
Description: hsa-miR-3671
Source: miRBase by way of RNAcentral
AUCAAAUAAGGACUAGUCUGCA